Molecule: ribosomal RNA, 491 nt
Filed under: uncultured bacterium
Lineage: Bacteria
Description: partial 16S ribosomal RNA
Rfam family: Bacterial small subunit ribosomal RNA
Source: RNAcentral
AGUGAACGCUGGCGGUAGGCCUAACACAUGCAAGUCGAACGGCAGCACAGUAAGAGCUUGCUCUUACGGGUGGCGAGUGGCGGACGGGUGAGGAAUACAUCGGAAUCUACUUUUUCGUGGGGGAUAACGUAGGGAAACUUACGCUAAUACCGCAUACGACCUACGGGUGAAAGCAGGGGAUCUUCGGACCUUGCGCGAUUGAAUGAGCCGAUGUUGGAUUAGCUAGUUGGCGGGGUAAAGGCCCACCAAGGCGACGAUCCGUAGCUGGUCUGAGGGGAUGUUCGGCCACACGGGACUUGGAACACGUCCCAGAUUCCUACGGAAGGCACAAGUGGGAAUAUUGGACCAAUGGGCCAAAGCCUGACCAAGCCAACCCGCGUGGUUGAGAAGGCCUUCGGGUUGUAAAGCCCUUUUGUUGGGAAAGAAAAGCAGCAGGUUAAUACCCCGCUGUUCUGACGGUACCCAAAGAAUAAGCACCGGCUAACUUCGUG